UUUUGUUUGAGGCCUAGGACCUCUUAAAACUAAAAAGAUUCCAAUUUGAAAUAAAUAUUAAAAACAGGUCCUUUGUACCGGGGGAGAGCAGUAAAACAAGUGUAUUUAAAACAGUGAGUAAAACCCAGUUGAGGAAUAACAAUUUA
Sander lucioperca (pikeperch) is the source of this 146-nucleotide long non-coding RNA. RefSeq lists it as uncharacterized. NCBI's taxonomy places the organism in Eukaryota, Metazoa, Chordata, Actinopteri, Perciformes, Percidae. The record is from RefSeq and is a predicted model, not a curated record. The transcript is spliced from 2 exons.